AUUGAACGCUGGCGGCAUGCCUUACACAUGCAAGUCGAACGGUAACGGGCCUUCGGGUGCCGACGAGUGGCGAACGGGUGAGUAAUACAUCGGAACGUGCCCGAUCGUGGGGGAUAACGAGGCGAAAGCUUUGCUAAUACCGCAUACGAUCUACGGAUGAAAGCAGGGGACCGCAAGGCCUUGCGCGGACGGAGCGGCCGAUGGCAGAGUAGGUAGUUGGUGGGAUAAAAGCUUACCAAGCCGACGAUCUGUAGCUGGUCUGAGAGGAUGAUCAGCCACACUGGGACUGAGACACGGCCCAGACUCCUACGGGAGGCAGCAGUGGGGAAUUUUGGACAAUGGGGGCAAGCCUGAUCCAGCCAGGCCGCGUGCAGGAUGAAGGCCUUCGGGUUGUAAACUGCUUUUGUACGGAACGAAAAGCCUUCUUUUAAUACAGGAGGGUCAUGACGGUACCGUAAGAAUAAGCACCGGCUAACUACGUG
Molecule: ribosomal RNA, 482 nt
Filed under: uncultured bacterium
Lineage: Bacteria
Description: partial 16S ribosomal RNA
Rfam family: Bacterial small subunit ribosomal RNA
Source: RNAcentral